CAUCCAGAGAACUUUCCAGAGAUGGAUGGUGCCUUCGGGGAACUUUGGAGACAGGUGCUGCAUGGCUGUCGUCAGCUCGUGUUGUGAAAUGUUGGGAUAAGUCCCGCAACGAGCGCAACCCUUAUCCUUGUUUGCCAGCACGUAAAUGGGGGGAACUCCAGGGAGACUGCCGGUGAUAAACCGGAGGAAGGUGGGGACGACGUCAAGUCAUCAUGGCCCUUACGAGUAGGGCUACACACGUGCUACAAUGGCGUAUACAGAGGGCUGCCAACCAGCGAUGGUGAGCGAAUCCCAGAAAGUACGUCGUAGUCCGGAUUGGAGUCUGCAACUCGACUCCAUGAAGUCGGAAUCGCUAGUAAUCGUGAAUCAGAAUGUCACGGUGAAUACGUUCCCGGGCCUUGUACACACCGCCCGUCACACCAUGGGAGUGGGCUGCACCAGAAGUAGAUAGCUUAACCUUCGGGAGGGCGUUUACCACGGUGUGGUUCAUGACUGGGGUGAAGUCGUAACAAGGUAACCAAGGG
This 524-nucleotide ribosomal RNA is filed under the name uncultured Photobacterium sp. RNAcentral's name for it is "bacterial SSU rRNA". It matches the Rfam family "Bacterial small subunit ribosomal RNA", at positions 985 to 1506 of the family's 1533-position model. The record is from RNAcentral. Lineage: Bacteria; Pseudomonadati; Pseudomonadota; Gammaproteobacteria; Vibrionales; Vibrionaceae.